UUUGGUUUCUUUCAGUAGUUUCAGGAAGAUUUACUGAAGCUGUCCCUGUUUCAUAAACUGUGAUUAGAAACUUUGAUGUGGACAUGAACAGCUGGAAUGUACGUGUCUAUGGCCGUAUAUUUCCAUAAAGAAAGAAGUGAAAGAGUGCAUUUUUCUUUUUUCACAGUGUCUCUGUUUUGAUCAUUUCUGUACAUUUGGUAUUUCCUUUAGGUUGAAGUUCUGCAUGAUUUUGAGGCAGCUAACGGUGACGAGCUUAAUUUAAAUGGAGGGGAUAUUGCACUAGUGAUUCCUUCUGAGACCACAGCUGAUCAGGAGCAGCCCAUCUUGUACAAUUUGUACGAGCCACUUUGUGGCUGCAGUGGUAGGAAGUGUUGAUGAAAAGCAUGCCAUUGAACUGGGGGCUGGGAGGUUGGGCUCUGGACCUGCACAGUGAGACAGCCAGGUCUCUGCUCCGAAUGGAGAGCAGUUCUUCAAACAUGCCCAAAUGCUGUCAGCGCGUUUGGAGAGCCAGAGACUGUUCGUUAUCUAAGCUGAACUCUCUCUUAAUACAAGAGACAAGUAAUUGCUUUGGUUUCUGAUUCUUUUUUAUUGUUGUUUCUGAAUAAAAGAUUAUUUUACUUUC
Long non-coding RNA from Lagopus leucura (white-tailed ptarmigan), 622 nucleotides. RefSeq lists it as uncharacterized. Lineage: Eukaryota; Metazoa; Chordata; Aves; Galliformes; Phasianidae. The transcript is spliced from 2 exons. The record is from RefSeq and is a predicted model, not a curated record.